UUGUGCUAGGCGGGGAGUUAGCGGUGCCCUUUUCCCGAAAUCCGCUUCAUGCGGGGCUGAAUUCCCUCUAAAGGGUUUUCAUUCCGAAAAAUUGCAGGUCAUCCUGAUCGGACACCGUGCAACAGACGGUCGUGAACCUCGUCAGGUCCGAAAGGAAGCAGCGAUAAGCGAUGCGGUCUGUGUCGCGAAUCGAUCCCGGUCAAUUUUUUGGCUUAUGUUUUUCUGAAAAAGAUUCGAUAGGGGGUGCACAA
Molecule: signal recognition particle RNA, 251 nt
Filed under: Desulfobacteraceae bacterium
Lineage: Bacteria; Pseudomonadati; Thermodesulfobacteriota; Desulfobacteria; Desulfobacterales; Desulfobacteraceae
Description: signal recognition particle sRNA large type
Rfam family: Bacterial large signal recognition particle RNA
About the family: The signal recognition particle (SRP) is a universally conserved ribonucleoprotein involved in the co-translational targeting of proteins to membranes. Archaeal SRP consists of a 7S RNA and homologues of the eukaryotic SRP19 and SRP54 proteins.
Source: RNAcentral